This 468-nucleotide ribosomal RNA is filed under the name uncultured bacterium. Its description in RNAcentral is "partial 16S ribosomal RNA". It matches the Rfam family "Bacterial small subunit ribosomal RNA", at positions 28 to 507 of the family's 1533-position model. The record is from RNAcentral.
GACGAACGCUGGCGGCGUGCUUAACACAUGCAAGUCGAACGGAAAGGCCCUGCUUUUGUGGGGUGCUCGAGUGGCGAACGGGUGAGUAACACGUGAGUAACCUGCCCUUGACUUUGGGAUAACUUCAGGAAACUGGGGAUAAUACCGGAUAGGAGCUCCUGCUGCAUGGUGGGGGUUGGAAAGUUUCGGCGGUUGGGGCUGGGCUCGCGGCUGAUCAGUUUGGUGGGGGGGUAGUGGCUUACCAAGGCUUUGCCGGGUGGCCGGCCUGCGAGGGGGACCGGCCAAAUUGGGACUGAGAUACGGGCCAGACUCCUACGGGAGGCAGGAGGGGGGAAUAUUGCACAAUGGGCGGAAGCGUGAUGUAGCAACGCCGUGUGCGGGAUGACGGCCUUCGGGUUGUAAACCGCUUUCGCCUGUGACGAAGCGUGAGUGACGGUAAUGGGUAAAGAAGCACCGGCUAACUACGUG